This 30-nucleotide non-coding RNA is filed under the name Rattus norvegicus (Norway rat). The record is from RNAcentral. Lineage: Eukaryota; Metazoa; Chordata; Mammalia; Rodentia; Muridae.
UGAAAUGUGUUGAAAGCCAACAGGAGAGAC